This 423-nucleotide ribosomal RNA is filed under the name uncultured bacterium. Its description in RNAcentral is "bacterial SSU rRNA". It matches the Rfam family "Bacterial small subunit ribosomal RNA", at positions 362 to 776 of the family's 1533-position model. The record is from RNAcentral.
UAUUGCGCAAUGGGCGAAAGCCUGACGCAGCGACGCCGCGUGGGUGAUGAAGGCCUUCGGGUCGUAAAGCCCUGUCAAGAGGGACGAAACCUCGCCGACCUAAUACGUCGGCGACCUGACGGUACCUCUGAAGGAAGCACCGGCUAACUCCGUGCCAGCAGCCGCGGUAAUACGGAGGGUGCGAGCGUUGUUCGGAAUCACUGGGCGUAAAGCGCGUGUAGGCGGCCUCUUAAGUCUGGUGUGAAAGCCCGGGGCUCACCCCCGGAAGUGCAUUGGAUACUGGGAGGCUGGAGUACCGGAGAGGAGGGUGGAAUUCCUGGUGUAGCGGUGAAAUGCGUAGAUAUCAGGAGGAACACCGGUGGCGAAGGCGGCCCUCUGGACGGAUACUGACGCUGAGACGCGACAGCGUGGGGAGCAAACAGG